GGGUGACGAUGUACAAUAUGUUCAAAUUGCACCGAGAACCUGUGAGGACACCAUAACACAGACCUGCACUGAACCU
This 76-nucleotide non-coding RNA is filed under the name Trypanosoma brucei brucei TREU927. The record is from RNAcentral. Lineage: Eukaryota; Euglenozoa; Kinetoplastea; Trypanosomatida; Trypanosomatidae.